RNAcentral lists this ribosomal RNA (900 nucleotides) under Triticum aestivum (bread wheat). Its description in RNAcentral is "partial small subunit ribosomal RNA". The record is from RNAcentral. Lineage: Eukaryota; Viridiplantae; Streptophyta; Magnoliopsida; Poales; Poaceae.
AUGGGGCCGAGGAGGAGGUGGAGGAGGAGGAGGAGGAUGAGGAGGAGGUUGGGGAGGGGGAGGCAGGCGAGGAGGAGGGUGGUGGCGGGGAUGAUGGUGCUGGCGGGGAGGGGGUUGACAACAAGGGGUGGCUGCGUGGUAACGCAAAGCUACCAAAGCAGGUUCCUGCUACUGAGGAGCAGAAGUGGCUCAUUGAGCCCACGGGGAAAGAGUAAGUGCCACUUUAUAAUAAGUUCAUUAUUUUGCUUGUCACAUGCUCAUUCCGGUUGUUAUUUAUUUUUCUUGUCACAUGCUAAUAGUUCAUUCUUUUGCAGCAACUGGAUAUAUUCUAAAGGGGUCCGUAUUCCCAACGGCCUCAUCACCGUCUUGCUGAAGUUACACUGGCCGGGGUUGUACUGUCCGGAUCCAGUCAGGCACCCGAACCAUCGGGUCUUGGCCACGAGCUGGGAGCACUGGGAAGCGGCUCUCCACGCGAACCAUGGGACCCAUGCCAAGGCCGUGAUCACCACUUUCUGGAAAUUCUAUCGAGUUCUCCCGGAGCACAGGGCUAGAGCGGACCAGAUCGUGUUGCGCCAAUGCAAGAAGAAGGCCCGCCAGAUGCAGUACGAGGUGCGCUAUGUGGCCAUCUCGACACACCAUCACGACUAUCUUGGUGUGAAGAUGACCAAGGAAGACGCGCGGAGGAUGGGCAUUACCUUGGAGAGGGACGAGUUCUUGAAGGUGUUACCAAAUUGGUGUUAUGGAAAAGACGAGUCCUGGGCGGCAUUGGUGGAUCUUUGGUGUGAUGAGGCUGGAGCCUGGGCGGCUAUCUUCACAAGGCUAACCGAGGGAAGGAGGGAGUACAUGCUCAGGGAAACCGAAACCACUAUCUUCACAAGGCAGUUAAUGAGGAGAAACUGA